RNAcentral lists this ribosomal RNA (468 nucleotides) under uncultured bacterium. RNAcentral's name for it is "partial 16S ribosomal RNA". It matches the Rfam family "Bacterial small subunit ribosomal RNA", at positions 28 to 507 of the family's 1533-position model. The record is from RNAcentral.
GACGAACGCUGGCGGCGUGCCUAACACAUGCAAGUCGAACGGAAAGGCCCUGCUUUUGUGCGGUUCUCGAGUGGCGCACGGGUGAGUAACACGUGAGUAUCCCGCCCUUGACUUUGGGAUAUCACCAGUAAACUCGGUCGCUUACCCGAUAGGAGCUCCUGCUGCAUGUUGGGUGUUGGAAAGUUUCGGCGGUUGGGGAUGGAAUCGCGGCUUAUCAGCUUGUUGGUGGGGUAGUGGCUUACCAAGGCUUUGACGGGUAGCCGGCCUGCGAGGGUGACCGGCCACAUUGGGACUGAGAUAGGGGCCAGACGGAUACGGGAGGAAGCGGUGCGGAAUAGUGCGAGAUGGGCGGAAGCAUGAUGCAGCAAUGUCGGGUGCGGGAGGACGGCUUUCGGGUUAUAAACCGCGUUCGACUGUGACGAAGCGUGAGUGACGGUAAUGGGUAAAGAAGCACCGGCUAACUACGUG